This is a non-coding RNA of Arachis ipaensis, 245 nucleotides long. Lineage: Eukaryota; Viridiplantae; Streptophyta; Magnoliopsida; Fabales; Fabaceae. The record is from RefSeq and is a predicted model, not a curated record.
GCGACUUCUGACCGCGCCUCUGCUGCCGGAGAGCGCUGCUGCCACCGAAAACCGCCUUUGAAGCCUGUGUAUGUUGGAAACUGCCGCCGGAACCCCUGUCUUCUUGGUUUGGGUUCUGGUAUUUGCGCGUCGAAAUUAAGGUUGUUAUUGAACCACCGGAGCUUCGGGGAGUGCCGGAGCUGCCGCCUGAUCGGUUCAGAGGGUCACUGCUGCUUUAUGUGUCGGGUUGGCAGUUGAACCGACAA